This 509-nucleotide ribosomal RNA is filed under the name uncultured bacterium. Its description in RNAcentral is "bacterial SSU rRNA". It matches the Rfam family "Bacterial small subunit ribosomal RNA", at positions 1 to 507 of the family's 1533-position model. The record is from RNAcentral.
UGAGUUUGAUCCUGGCUCAGAGUGAACGCUGGCGGGCAUGCCUAACACAUGCAAGUCGAACGAAUUUUGACAGUGUAUCGUCAGAGUUAGUGGCAAACGGGUGAGUAAUACGUGGACAAUCUUCCCUCGAGCGGGGAAUAACUCCGGGAAACCGGAGCUAAUACCGCGUGAGACCACGUCUCGGCAUCGAGAUGAGGUUAAAGCUCCGCAAGGGGCGCUUGAGGAGGGGUUCACGGCCUAUCAGCUAGUUGGCGGGGUUAAAGCCCACCAAGGCUACGACGGGUAACCGGUCUGAAAGGACGGCCGGUCACAAUGGCACUGAGACACGGGCCAUACUCCUACGGGAGGCAGCAGUGGGGAAUUUUGCGCAAUGGGGGAAACCCUGACGCAGCAAUGCCGCGUGGAGGACGAAGGUCUUCGGAUUGUAAACUCCUUUUGUCGGUGAAAAAUAACCCUGUGAAGAACAGGGAAUGAUUGUAGCCGGCGAAUAAGCCACGGCUAACUUCGUG